RNAcentral lists this ribosomal RNA (388 nucleotides) under Klebsiella sp. gx-150. RNAcentral's name for it is "bacterial SSU rRNA". It matches the Rfam family "Bacterial small subunit ribosomal RNA", at positions 57 to 432 of the family's 1533-position model. Lineage: Bacteria; Pseudomonadati; Pseudomonadota; Gammaproteobacteria; Enterobacterales; Enterobacteriaceae. The record is from RNAcentral.
GGGAUACGGUUAGUUGCGUUUUUAAGCUUCCUGGCCCCAAACGAAAACGGGUCCUUUUUUACGGGGCCCCUUAGAUGCUGGGAAACUGCUUGAUGGAGGGGGAUAACUUUUGUAAAGGGUAGCUAAUACCGCAAACGUCGCAAGACCAAAGUGGGGGACCUUCGGGCCUCAUGCCAUCAGAUGUCCCCAGAUGGGAUUAGCUGGUAGGUGGGGUAACGGCUCACCUAGGCGACGAUCCCUAGCUGGUCUGAGAGGAUGACCAGCCACACUGGAACUGAGACACGGUCCAGACUCCUACGGGAGGCAGCAGUGGGGAAUAUUGCACAAUGGGCGCAAGCCUGAUGCAGCCAUGCCGCGUGUGUGAAGAAGGCCUUCGGGUUGUAAAGCC